RNAcentral lists this microRNA precursor (187 nucleotides) under Oryza sativa Japonica Group (Japanese rice). Its description in RNAcentral is "MIR812 microRNA precursor family". It matches the Rfam family "MIR812 microRNA precursor family". Lineage: Eukaryota; Viridiplantae; Streptophyta; Magnoliopsida; Poales; Poaceae. The record is from Rfam by way of RNAcentral.
CCCCCGUCCCAUUUUAAGUGUGUUCAAUGUUUGUUCGUCCGUCUUAUUUAAAAUAAUUUUCUGAUUAGUAUUUUUAUUGUUGUUAGAUGAUAAAAAUAAAUAGUACUUUAUAUGUGACUUAUUUUUUUAUAUUUUUUUUUCAAAUAAUACAAAUGGUCAAACGUUGGACACAGAAAAAACACAUGGG